Molecule: long non-coding RNA, 1785 nt
Organism: Sapajus apella (tufted capuchin)
Lineage: Eukaryota; Metazoa; Chordata; Mammalia; Primates; Cebidae
Exons: 4
Source: RefSeq, a predicted model, not a curated record
GGGCGGACGCGGGGCCGGGCCAGGGCGGUGCAAGAGCUGGACAAAAGCGGCUACCGUCCGUGGCGCAGCCGGGCCUCCGUCCUGGUGGCAUACUUCGGGCACUAUAGGCCGUCUCCGCACACGUGAUGCGGGGCUCGGUCACGUCGCCCCCUGGAGGCUUGAGGGUGCGCCAGGUUUGACUCUGCUGGGCAUGCGCGCUUUGGGGGUGGAAGGAAGAGGAACGCAGCGGGAAGCAGAGCCCCAACCGGGAGAGUCGUCCCGGCGCGCACGCUGAGGCGGCUUCGUACAGCGGCCAUAGGCGCUGCACGGAUCCGGGCACACCUUCCUGCGCACCCACUCGUGGUCAACUCCCUACAGGAGCGGAGUGACUCCUGAACUCCCACCCCUCUUUUAGUGUGAGCGUCUGGAGUCCUGACCGCCGCAGCCAGCCCAGCCAUGAUGAGCUAAGAGGAUGUGGCAGCCCAGCCACGACAAACUAAGAGGAAGUGUGGGUGACCUUAUGUCAGAGGAAGUGGCUUUCUUAUUGGAGCAAAAAUUCCCUUACCAAUGUCAGUGCUAGGGUCAGAAGAUCUAGCAACACAGCAACACCAGGCCCGUGUUCCACUUGACAAAUAGUGGCUGCUGGGUAGCCUUCUUAGAGGAUUGAAGGAAAAGAUGAACAGAUUGGCAACGGCGAUUUGGAAAAACAGCGGUGCACUAUGAUGCCUGUCUCUCUCACUAGAUUGUGAACUCCUAAAGACACUGGACUCAUGGCAGUAGUGAUCACUGCAAGGACUGUGGCGCAGGAUGGAUAUUUCUGAGUGUCGUGGAUGCUUACAGACAGAAGGUGAAAAGCUCAGGUUCUGAAGCUCUUGGUUCAGUUCUUGGUCUGAGAACUAGAGAAUUUCCAUGGCAGCCCUAAAAUAACCUUUUAUUUCUUGUAGCCACAGGGUUGAGAUUGUUAAAAAUUAAACACAAAAUUUAAUUUUACAGGUUGCAGAACUACGACAUCAGUAAUUUUGUUGGGAAGUGAAUGCCGGGUUUCUCAUGUGAAAGUUAGGUCCUUGAUUGGGAAGGAAGGAGACCCCAAAACUUGGAAGGGGACAUCUGGUUGGUCUCAAAUGAGAGUGAGAAUCUUGAACCCCUGAGUUGCUCUGAGUCUCCCUUGCCAGCGUGAGUAGCUUGCCCUUGUAUAUCUGCAGGGUUUUUCCCCCUCAAAAGCCCUGGUUCAUCUGGAGCAAAUACUUCACAAACGAGGAUGCCCACUCUCCUUGGAACCUACCUCAAACACCCUUUAUUGCCACUAGACCCAUCACCAGGGUCAGUUGUCAUCAUAUUCCAGUGGCUGGGAAGUGGCAGCAGGUCUCUGUCUAUAACUCUGGCACUGAGCCCAGAUUCCCAAGUCUGCCCCUUAUUCCAGAGGGUCCCUGAUUGCUAUACAGAGGAAGUAUGGGCCAAGAUAACCUAACCAAACACCAGGCUCCAGAUUCUCAAGCAGUCUCUUUCAACACCAUGGUUUUGAAAAGUAAAUUUGAGAGGUAAUUUUAAGGCUCUUACAUAGAAGAAUUCUCCCCAAAGAAACAUAUCUAUGGUGAUUAUUGUUCAAUUCUGGACCUCUCAGCAUUGUUUUCUUGCUCUGUCAGUUACAAAAUAAAUAAUUCUAGCUUUCUGAAGCUUGAGUAGGAUGUGUGACUAAUUUACAGAGAAGCAUCUCUAGUGGAGGAUAAACAACACGAAGUAUGUAAUUCUGGCUGGGUGAGGUGGCUCAUGCCUGUAAUCCCAGCUUUGGGAGGCCGAGGUGGGUGG